UACGGAGGGGGUUAGCGUUGUUCGGAAUUACUGGGCGUAAAGCGCGCGUAGGCGGAUCAGAAAGUUGGGGGUGAAAUCCCGGGGCUCAACCCCGGAAUUGCCUUCAAAACUCCUGGUCUUGAGUUCGAGAGAGGUGAGUGGAAUUCCGAGUGUAGAGGUGAAAUUCGUAGAUAUUCGGAGGAACACCAGUGGCGAAGGCGGCUCACUGGCUCGAAACUGACGCUGAGGUGCGAAAGCGUGGGGAGCAAACAGG
Molecule: ribosomal RNA, 253 nt
Filed under: uncultured bacterium
Lineage: Bacteria
Description: partial 16S ribosomal RNA
Rfam family: Bacterial small subunit ribosomal RNA
Source: RNAcentral